Molecule: ribosomal RNA, 492 nt
Filed under: uncultured bacterium
Lineage: Bacteria
Description: partial 16S ribosomal RNA
Rfam family: Bacterial small subunit ribosomal RNA
Source: RNAcentral
AGUGAACGCUGGCGGUAGGCCUAACACAUGCAAGUCGAACGGCAGCACAGUAAGAGCUUGCUCUUACGGGUGGCGAGUGGCGGACGGGUGAGGAAUACAUCGGAAUCUACUUUUUCGUGGGGGAUAACGUAGGGAAACUUACGCUAAUACCGCAUACGACCUACGGGUGAAAGCAGGGGAUCUUCGGACCUUGCGCGAUUGAAUGAGCCGAUGUCGGAUUAGCUAGUUGGCGGGGUAAAGGCCCACCAAGGCGACGAUCCGUAGCUGGUCUGAGAGGAUGAUCAGCCACACUGGAACUGAGACACGGUCCAGACUCCUACGGUAGGCAGCAGUGGGGAAUAUUGGGCAAUGGGCGCAAGCCUGCUCCAGCCAUACCACGUGGGUGAAGAAGACCUUCGGGUUGUAAAGCCCUUUUGUUGGGAAAGAAAAGCAGCAGGUUAAUACGCCGCUGUUCUGACGGUACCCAAAGAAUAAGCACCGGCUAACUUCGUG